UACAGAGGGGGCAAGCGUUAUUCGGAAUUAUUGGGCGUAAAGGGCGCGUAGGCGGCCUGACAAGUGGAAGGUGAAAUCCCUCGGCUUAACCGAGGAACUGCCCUCCAAACUGUUUGGCUUGAGACCGGGAGAGGUGAGUGGAAUUCCCAGUGUAGCGGUGAAAUGCGUAGAUAUUGGGAAGAACACCGGUGGCGAAAGCGCUCUGCUGGGCCAUAACUGACACUCAGGGACGAAAGCUAGGGGAGCGAAUGGG
This 253-nucleotide ribosomal RNA is filed under the name uncultured bacterium. RNAcentral describes it as "partial 16S ribosomal RNA". It matches the Rfam family "Bacterial small subunit ribosomal RNA", at positions 524 to 776 of the family's 1533-position model. The record is from RNAcentral.